UCAAUCCUAGCAGCCCGAGGCUGCCUCUCUCUCCCCCUCUCCCCGGGAACACACCCGCCGCCGCCUCUCUCUGCCCUCUCCCCAAUCCAACUCGACGACGACGGCCCGCCGUCGCCGCCCCCUCCUUCCCCAUCCCGCCACCGCCUCUCUCUCCCACCCACGCUGAUCCACUCUCACAUUGCCUCCGCACCCAUCCUCCCCCUUAUCUCGCUCCCACACACAGCUGCCGGAGCCACCCCAACCCAAACCCUCUCCCUCACACCUUGAUCCGAUGUCACACCCAUCAUCGACAACCCAGAUCGAGCAGGCGGGGCGGUGCUUCCAGACCCGCGACAGCGGCAAUGGGCUCGCGUCCCAGAUCACAAGAAUGUCCCCUUCCUCUCGAUCUCAUUGUGCUCCUCUCGAUCCCAUCCCCUUCCUCCCCACAACGGAGCCUCGAUUUUGACCGCGUCUUGUUGCUGUGUGCAGAAGUCCGAGAGGCACGGGGCCGAGGACGUGUGCCAGAUCUGCGCCGACGGCCUAGGCACCACGGUGGAUGGCGGGUCUUCACUACCUGCGACGUCUGCCGCUUCCCGGUCUAGUGCCCCUGCUACGUGCAUGAGCGCAAGGACGGCACCCAGGCCUGCCUCCAGUGCAAGACCAAGUACUAGCGCUUCUGCCAGCUCGACCGCAGCGCCAAGGGCUUCAUCUCCGAGGACGAGUUCCUCUCCAUCCUGGAGUUCUCCACCAACCCGCUCUCCCAUCCACCGAAGCUCUGCUUUUAGUGCUGUCAUUCAGAUUCAGAGAUGAAGGAAAAACAGCUGAUGGACUUUGGAGUCACGUAGAUUUUGCUUGUUGUGGCAUUGCUUGAAUUUGGGUUAUUGGAUAGCUAGAGCUACGUAGGAUUUCUUCUAAUUUACUCCAGGAGACGAAGACCACGCUUCAUGAAUUCAGGGCAGCGUCGAGGUGGUCAUGUGGGAUCCUGUCGAACAGCUCGUGCUCGCUGUCGACUUCGAUGGCAGGGUCACCCGCUCCAUCGGCCUCCUCUCCGGCAGGAUGUACUACUCAGAUUUCAUCCCCUACUUCAACUCAUACACAGAGAUCUACAUCUUACAUGGCCAUUAGAAAUGCGGAAGCGUACAACAGCUGGUUUAAGAGAUUGGCCAAGUGUUAGUCGAUCUGCAAGCCGGUUUAAGAGCUUGAUUGGACGGUCCAAUUCAACACGGAGCUGAGUGUCUGUUGAAACUUUUCAUCCAUCAAGCGCCGCUUCCAAUUCAACACGGAGCUGAGUGUCUGUUGAAACUUUUCAUCCAUCAAGCGCCGCCUCCGGCCGCCCCGACGACGCCCUCGCCUCCAACCGCCCCGAUGACGCCCUCGCUUCUGCAUUUGGUCCUGAUGUAUUCCUUUGACUAAUGAAUCUAGCAGCAUCAAAGUCCAGAAUAUCCAAAAUGCCUUGGCUUGCUGAACCCUUGUGCUGGUUAGAAAUGCAGAAUUGUGAUAUUGUGCUGGGAGCACUCUUGUUACAGUCAUAAGUUAGAUUUCAGCUUUGCAUCUUUUCAGGUUUAACUGUUGGUUUACAUUGAAAUUGUUAAGCAAGUACCAAAUUGAGUGCAUAGUGUGCAAUUUGUAUUUAGUAAUCUAGUAGCUCAUAAGCAUCAGACCAUAUGUUUUCUUAUAAGCACACUAAAUUGAUGGUUGAAAGAUUUUAUAUGCUUCUGAUGCAUGAUUCUUCU
Long non-coding RNA from Triticum dicoccoides, 1712 nucleotides. RefSeq lists it as uncharacterized. The record is from RefSeq and is a predicted model, not a curated record. Lineage: Eukaryota; Viridiplantae; Streptophyta; Magnoliopsida; Poales; Poaceae. The transcript is spliced from 5 exons.